Molecule: unclassified non-coding RNA, 253 nt
Filed under: uncultured Alphaproteobacteria bacterium
Lineage: Bacteria; Pseudomonadati; Pseudomonadota; Alphaproteobacteria
Description: contains 16S-23S intergenic spacer region
Rfam family: Bacterial small subunit ribosomal RNA
Source: RNAcentral
UACGAAGGGGGCUAGCGUUGUUCGGAAUUACUGGGCGUAAAGGGCGCGUAGGCGGCUCGUCAAGUCAGGCGUGAAAUCCCCGAGCUUAACUUGGGAAUAGCGCUUGAGACUGGCGAGCUUGAGUCCGGGAGAGGUGAGUGGAAUUCCCAGUGUAGAGGUGAAAUUCGUAGAUAUUGGGAAGAACACCAGUGGCGAAGGCGGCUCACUGGACCGGCACUGACGCUGAGGCGCGAAAGCGUGGGGAGCAAACAGG